Lolium rigidum is the source of this 470-nucleotide long non-coding RNA. RefSeq lists it as uncharacterized. The record is from RefSeq and is a predicted model, not a curated record. Lineage: Eukaryota; Viridiplantae; Streptophyta; Magnoliopsida; Poales; Poaceae. The transcript is spliced from 2 exons.
GAACCAGCGAGGGCAAUCAACAUUGAUGGAACUGGAUUCGUUGAUAUGGAAGCAUCAGUAUUCCGGAAACUUCAAGAGGCCCAUAAGAGGAAGCAAUGUGGAUAACUGGUGCUUUGCGGAACAUGAGCUUGCAACUUGCAGAGUACAUUUUGUUGUCACAAGUCACGCCAGCUGAGGAUCAUCAGGAGUUCAGGACAGUUCAGAUACAUAGUCAGAACAAGUUUCAGGUUUCGUUGCUGAUAUAUUGUUGUGAGUUACUCACAUGCCUGUCUCAAUUUGUACCCAGUUACCGCCAUGUGUGCUUGUACCUCAACUCUUGUAUUCUUACAGGUCUGUUUGGAGUAUUUCAUAUCUUAGAUAUUACAGGCAGUUUUGUUUAGAAGUGAAAAGAAAAUGAAGCCCUCACAAUCAUACUUGCAUUUUCGACCGCACACUUAUUAUUCACGGUAGAUGCCUAUUUUGGUUGGUUC